RNAcentral lists this ribosomal RNA (492 nucleotides) under uncultured bacterium. RNAcentral describes it as "partial 16S ribosomal RNA". It matches the Rfam family "Bacterial small subunit ribosomal RNA", at positions 28 to 507 of the family's 1533-position model. The record is from RNAcentral.
GAUGAACGCUCGCUACAGGCUUAACACAUGCAAGUCGAGGGGAAACGGCAUUAAGUGCUUGCACUUUUUGGACGUCGACCGGCGCACGGGUGAGUAACGCGUAUCCAACCUUCCCAUGACUAAGGGAUAACCUGCCGAAAGGCAGACUAAUACCUUAUGGUCUUCACUGACGGCAUCAGAUGUGAAGUAAAGAUUUAUCGGUUAUGGAUGGGGAUGCGUCUGAUUAGCUUGUUGGCGGGGUAACGGCCCACCAAGGCAACGAUCAGUAGGGGUUCUGAGAGGAAGGUCCCCCACAUUGGAACUGAGACACGGUCCAAACUCCUACGGGAGGCAGCAGUGAGGAAUAUUGGUCAAUGGGCGAGAGCCUGAACCAGCCAAGUAGCGUGCAGGAUGACGGCCCUAUGGGUUGUAAACUGCUUUUGUAUGGGGAUAAAGUCAAUCACGCGUGAUUGUUUGCAGGUACCAUACGAAUAAGGACCGGCUAAUUCCGUG